UACAGAGGGGGCGAGCGUUAAUCGGAAUUACUGGGCGUAAAGCGCACGUAGGCGGCUUGGUAUGUCGGGUGUGAAAUCCCCGGGCUCAACCUGGGAACUGCAUCCGAAACUGCCUUGCUCGAGUAUGGGAGAGGGAAGCGGAAUUUCCGGUGUAGCGGUGAAAUGCGUAGAUAUCGGAAGGAACAUCAGUGGCGAAGGCGGCUUCCUGGACCAAUACUGACGCUCAGGUGCGAAAGCGUGGGGAGCAAACAGG
This 253-nucleotide ribosomal RNA is filed under the name uncultured bacterium. RNAcentral describes it as "partial 16S ribosomal RNA". It matches the Rfam family "Bacterial small subunit ribosomal RNA", at positions 524 to 776 of the family's 1533-position model. The record is from RNAcentral.